UUUGUUAGUCCUAGGAUGUAUCCACCUCUUUGAAGAUCGGCCAAGUUCCUCAUCCCAACAUGAGCUAGACAACGAUGCCAUAACCAUCCCAUGCUAGAUUUUGCCACUAAACAAGUCUUGGACCCCACUCUACUAGAUGAGAAAUCAACUAGAUAGAGCUUGCCCUUAAGUUGACCCAUAAAAGCAAUAGAGGCAUCCGACCUUCUAGAGACUUCUACACCCUUAUUCGUAAAGAGACAAUUGUAACCCUUCUCACAAAGUUGUGAGAUGGACAACAAAUUGUAUCCCAAUGAAUUCA
This 298-nucleotide long non-coding RNA is filed under the name Sorghum bicolor (sorghum). RNAcentral describes it as "long non-coding RNA (SBIC_LNC013767)". Lineage: Eukaryota; Viridiplantae; Streptophyta; Magnoliopsida; Poales; Poaceae. The record is from RNAcentral.